UUUAAAUCAUUGAAUAUUGACUCAUUUUAUUAGUCACUUCGUAAUUUGUUCAACCAAAAGACAAUACACACAGCAGAAGUCUAAUGCAUCCCAUGAAAAUGUUUACAUCCGUUAUGCUCCUCACUCACCUCAGACUUAGCAUUUUAGUUUUCUCACAUCUCAAAAAUAGGUCUGCAGAAGUUGGAAUGCCACCGGGCUCCCUGCUUGAAGGGCAUGGCUUCACUUGAAAUUUGGUUGGGUUUGCUGGGGUUUGGUUUUUUGUUUGCCUUUUUUUUUUUUCCCCACUAUAGUGCCCAAGAGGUGGGAUGGGGCUCGAGGUAAAAUGUAAAUUACAUCAGGAAAGAAAAGGGAAUAUACAGAAGAGUGAAAGUUCCGAGGGAAGCAGCCCAGCAGCCCCUUCCUUCACAGCCCCAAGUAGAAAAUGAACACAUAGAAAGCACAGCAGCAGCUUUAAAAAAAAAAAAAAAAAAAAAAAAAAAAAGCCAUCUUGGCUGCUCCGUCUUGCAGCUAGUCCCAGCUUCAGAGAAGGCACAAAGUCACCUUUCCCAGCUGCUUCAGCAUCUUCUGUGUUACAAACCCAAGGUACUGUUCAGGUGGCAGUCCUCCCACUGCUAUUGCUUCAAAAGGUUGUUCAAGGCCAUUUUUUGCCCCGUCAAGACCUGUACAAAGUUGAACCUUAGGACGUUCCCAUGUCUCCACCGCCUUCAGGCCCAUUAUGGCCACUGUUCUCUGUGUCAUUUUUUGACUCAGAAUACAUUUACUUGAAAAAAACCCAGACAUUCAGUCUCUCCCAGCUCCAAAAUCUCCAAGCAGAUAUGAAUAAGAUUAGCCGUGAAGUCUGUAUCUUGUUCCCUUUACAUUCACCUUAUGCUGAAGCAAGGAAAAUGUUGACCAGAGCCGUAAGAACUGUUGCAUUCAACUAGUGGAAGAGAGACUCACCCUAUCUAUCCUCAGAGUGCCCCAGACACGGACACACAAGUACUCCCCAGUGAGAAAACAAAGCAGCACAGAGCUUGAGCUGCACUUAGGGGUCAAGGAGCAAGCAAUGGCAUCUGGUGCUACAGACAGGACGUGUGAAACCUGCCUGCCUGCAUACUGUUAGCACUCGUCCUUAGCUGGGAAGGCAAAGAGCUCAGAGGAAUGUUCGGCUGCUACAAAGGAGUCCUUCAUAGCCAAGGGAUGGCUUCAAGCAAAAUGCAUUUCAAGUACGUGCACUGCCUCCUCCAGCUCCACUCAGAAACACAGGGGACAGCACCCAUUUCCCUGAACACAAACACUGUGCGUAGGGGGCUGAAGCAGCCAAGAACAUAUCAGGAAUUUACCCUACACACCAGACAGAGACCAACAAGAAGCCCCAGCUGCUCUAGGGCAUGGAAAACAGGAGCAACAAGAUGGACAAGGUAAGCUGUUCCCAACCAUGUUGCAACGAACAGGCCAUCUGUUGAAAGAAAAAUGGUGAGGGACCAUUUACUUCCUUCUCCCCAUCUAAUCUGCACCAGGGCUCUUCUUCAGCAAAACCAAUGCAGAUGGAGGUGUGCCAGCUUUCGGUACAACGGACCACAUACAAUUCUAUGAGGAGAAUGGGAGAGCUUAUGGGGAGUUCAGGAACUAAGGUAAAGACUUUCCAUUAGCUUUGUACCUGGGAUACCCUCAGAGCUCACUGGAGUCAAGAUUUAACAUGCUCAGCCUCCAACACUACGGAGUUUGAGCUAGUGGGGUGAAAAGAUGCAGCUGAAGUGAAAGCAACAAAAGAAAAUGCUCGGCACCUACAAAUGGACUUCACUUCAGCAAUUUUCCGCAAGACUGGCUGCUCCAUGAUGCUUCUGGCUGAAGCACAGCAUCUAUCUCACCACUGAUAUCCAAGGCAUGACCCUAACACAGCCCACAAUUACUUUUAAGGAAAGCAUACAUCAUUCUUCUAGAUUUUAUAACCCCAUGCUGAUGCACUUCCAACAGAACAAUAACACUCUUUGCUAAUCCAAUGGCCCAAACCUGUUUAAUCAGUAAGGCAGCAAAAAAUGUGCUCCAAGAAAAGCUCAACUUAUUCCACUACACAGACCAGCACUUAAGUCAGUGACAAUCAGUCCUAUUGAUAUUACUUAAUGCAGUUAAAACCAGACCGAACAACCUUUACUGGCCUCCUGCUCCCAAUUCAAAGGCAGAAUAGGUCUUCAAUUUUCCAAGUACACUGUGCACCACUGCUGCAGUGGUUUUGGCAAGGUUUGGAGCUUAGUGUUAGCACUUUUGCAGACACAAAGAGCUGUAUUUAAGCUUGCCAUUAGAGCACUGAAUGAUCCGUAUCUGAAAAGCCCUAGAGGAGAAAUAAAGCAGAUGUGCCAUCUAUUUCUUUUGAGAAAGCACUGGGUUGGAAGGUGGAGUUCUGUCAGCUUGCCACCACACUCAUAGAUGAAGAUGUAAGAUACAUCUUCCCCUCUUCCUCCC
RNAcentral lists this long non-coding RNA (2442 nucleotides) under Strigops habroptila (Kakapo). RNAcentral's name for it is "lncRNA (ENSSHBG00005018846.1)". The record is from RNAcentral. Lineage: Eukaryota; Metazoa; Chordata; Aves; Psittaciformes; Psittacidae.